This 254-nucleotide ribosomal RNA is filed under the name uncultured bacterium. Its description in RNAcentral is "partial 16S ribosomal RNA". It matches the Rfam family "Bacterial small subunit ribosomal RNA", at positions 524 to 776 of the family's 1533-position model. The record is from RNAcentral.
UACGUAGGGUGCGAGCGUUGUCCGGAAUUAUUGGGCGUAAAGAGCUCGUAGGCGGUGUGUCACGUCGGCCGUGAAAACCUGGGGCUUAACUCUGGGCGUGCGGUCGAUACGGGCAUCACUAGAGUUCGGCAGGGGAGACUGGAAUUCCUGGUGUAGCGGUGAAAUGCGUAGAUAUCUGGAGGAACACCGGUGGCGAAGGCGGCAUCCUGGACCGACACUGACACUGAGGAGCGAAAGCCAGGGGAGCAAACGGG